AGUGAACGCUGGCGGUAGGCCUAAUACAUGCAAGUCGAACGGCAGCACAGUAAGAGCUUGCUCUUGCGGGUGGCGAGUGGCGGACGGGUGAGGAAUACAUCGGAAUCUACUUUUUCGUGGGGGAUAACGUAGGGAAACUUACGCUAAUACCGCAUACGACCUACGGGUGAAAGCAGGGGAUCUUCGGACCUUGCGCGAUUGAAUGAGCCGAUGUCGGAUUAGCUAGUUGGCGGGGUAAAGGCCCACCAAGGCGACGAUCCGUAGCUGGUCUGAGAGGAUGAUCAGCCACACUGGAACUGAGACACGGUCCAGACUCCUACGGGAGGCAGCAGUGGGGAAUAUUGGACAAUGGGCGCAAGCCUGAUCCAGCCAUACCGCGUGGGUGAAGAAGGCCUUCGGGUUGUAAAGCCCUUUUGUUGGGAAAGAAAAGCAGCAGGUUAAUACCCCGCUGUUCUGACGGUACCCAAAGAAUAAGCACCGGCUAACUUCGUG
Molecule: ribosomal RNA, 492 nt
Filed under: uncultured bacterium
Lineage: Bacteria
Description: partial 16S ribosomal RNA
Rfam family: Bacterial small subunit ribosomal RNA
Source: RNAcentral